GACGAACGCUGGCGGCGUGCUUAACACAUGCAAGUCGAACGGAAAGGCCCUGCUUUUGUGGGGUUCUCGAGUGGCGAACGGGUGAGUAACCCGUGAGUAACCUUCCCUUGACUGGGGGAUAACUGCAGGAAACUGGUGCUAAUACCGACUAGGAGCUCCUGCUGCAUGGUGGGGGUUGGAAAGUUUCGGCGGAUGGGGAUGGACUCGCGGCUUAUCAGCUUGUUGGUGGGGUAGUUGCUUACCAAGGCUUUGACGGAUAGCCGGCCUGAGAGGGUGACCGGCCACAUUGGGACUAAGAUACGGACCAGACUCGUACGGGAGGCAGCAGUGGGGAAUAUUGCACAAUGGGCGGAAGCCUGAUGCAGAAACGCCGCGUGCGGGAUGAAGGCCUUCGGGUUGUAAACCGCUUUAGCCUGUGACGAAGCGUGAGUGACGGUAAUGGGUAAAGAAGCACCGGCUAACUACGUG
RNAcentral lists this ribosomal RNA (468 nucleotides) under uncultured bacterium. RNAcentral's name for it is "partial 16S ribosomal RNA". It matches the Rfam family "Bacterial small subunit ribosomal RNA", at positions 28 to 507 of the family's 1533-position model. The record is from RNAcentral.